UGAUAGUACUGUAUAUAUACUGGAAUGCAACGUCUGCCAUUCAGUGUCAGGAAAGGAGACUCAAUCAAAAUGUUCAAGAAAUUAUUCCUAGUUUUUCUCGUAGUUCUGAUGGCUGGAAAUAGCAUGCAACAAGGCGCUGGAGGAGGCGCAGGCGGUGAAGCUAGUGCCGGGUUCGGUUUCGGCGGUGGAGCAGGAGGUGGCGGUCAAGGUGGCGGUGGAGCUGAUGGUGGUGCAGGCGCGAACGGUGGUGCAAGCUUCGGGUUUAAUGCUGGAGUGGGAGGCAACGCCGGCGGCGGCGGCGGCAGC
Helicoverpa armigera (cotton bollworm) is the source of this 306-nucleotide long non-coding RNA. RefSeq lists it as uncharacterized. The transcript is spliced from 4 exons. The record is from RefSeq and is a predicted model, not a curated record. Lineage: Eukaryota; Metazoa; Arthropoda; Insecta; Lepidoptera; Noctuidae.